AUGCAAGUCGAGCGAAGCACUUUGCUUAGAUUCUUCGGAUGAAGAGGAUUGUGACUGAGCGGCGGACGGGUGAGUAACGCGUGGGUAACCUGCCUCAUACAGGGGGAUAACAGUUAGAAAUGACUGCUAAUACCGCAUAAGACCACAGCACCGCAUGGUGCGGGGGUAAAAACUCCGGUGGUAUGAGAUGGACCCGCGUCUGAUUAGCUAGUUGGUAAGGUAACGGCUUACCAAGGCGACGAUCAGUAGCCGACCUGAGAGGGUGACCGGCCACAUUGGGACUGAGACACGGCCCAAACUCCUACGGGAGGCAGCAGUGGGGAAUAUUGCACAAUGGGGGAAACCCUGAUGCAGCGACGCCGCGUGAAGGAUGAAGUAUUUCGGUAUGUAAACUUCUAUCAGCAGGGAAGAAAAUGACGGUACCUGACUAAGAAGCCCCGGCUAACUACGUGCCAGCAGCCGCGGUAAUACGUAGGGGGCAAGCGUUAUCCGGAUUUACUGGGUGUAAAGGGAGCGUAGACGGCAUGGCAAGUCUGAAGUGAAAGCCCGGGGCUCAACCCCGGGACUGCUUUGGAAACUGUCAGGCUAGAGUGCUGGAGAGGUAAGUGGAAUUCCUAGUGUAGCGGUGAAAUGCGUAGAUAUUAGGAGGAACACCAGUGGCGAAGGCGGCUUACUGG
Molecule: ribosomal RNA, 677 nt
Filed under: uncultured Lachnospiraceae bacterium
Lineage: Bacteria; Bacillati; Bacillota; Clostridia; Lachnospirales; Lachnospiraceae
Description: bacterial SSU rRNA
Rfam family: Bacterial small subunit ribosomal RNA
Source: RNAcentral